CCUAUCAAAGGAUGCGUAUCGAACCCGACACACCUCCUUUCCAAUGUCAUCGUUCACCGAACCUCCAGCCGGAUAAGAUAGGUGAUGAAUUAAACGGAAGGAGCCGGGCUCUUUCUUGGGGACUAAGCCCAGCGGCGACACGCGGAGAUUGUGAAAGGGGGGAAAGACAAAGGGGCCGGCCAUCCACCCCAGUCGAAUCUCCUUAUCCAAUUUGUCUUGUAACC
Molecule: non-coding RNA, 224 nt
Organism: Pelobates cultripes (western spadefoot toad)
Lineage: Eukaryota; Metazoa; Chordata; Amphibia; Anura; Pelobatidae
Source: the annotation of a GenBank genome assembly